This is a non-coding RNA of Caenorhabditis elegans, 145 nucleotides long. NCBI's taxonomy places the organism in Eukaryota, Metazoa, Nematoda, Chromadorea, Rhabditida, Rhabditidae. The record is from Ensembl.
GACGGCACAAAUAAAUUCCAUUGGAUUUUUUGUCUGAACAUGAUGCCAAUGCCGGUGGUGCCCCCCGAUGCCCACAUCUCCUUAUAUCUAUUCAAUGAAGAAUUUUGUUGAAAAAACGCGAACGACGUCUUCGAAUGGGGCGGAG